CCCUUAGAUGUUCUGGGCCGCACGCGCGCUACACUGAUGCAUUCAACAAGCCUAGCCUUGACCGAGAGGUCCGGGUAAUCUUUGAAACUGCAUCGUGAUGGGGCUAGAUUAUUGCAAUUAUUAAUCUUCAACGAGGAAUGCCUAGUAAGCGUGAUUCAUCAAAUCGCGUUGAUUACGUCCCUGCCCUUUGUACACACCGCCCGUCGCUCCUACCGAUUGAACGUGUUGGUGAGGAGCUCGGAUUGGCAGCAGUUGGUGGUUCGCCACCGGCUAUUGCUGAGAAGUCCUCCACCGCCCCAUUUAGAGGAAGGAGAAGUCGUAACA
This 324-nucleotide ribosomal RNA is filed under the name uncultured eukaryote. RNAcentral's name for it is "partial 18S ribosomal RNA". It matches the Rfam family "Eukaryotic small subunit ribosomal RNA", at positions 1470 to 1796 of the family's 1831-position model. The record is from RNAcentral.